UACGGAGGAGGCAAGCGUUAUCCGGAAUUAUUGGGCGUAAAGCGUCCGUAGGUGGGUGUGUAAGUCUGCUGUUAAAGAGUGAGGCUUAACCUCAUAAGGGCAGUGGAAACUCUUCGUCUAGAGUGCGACAGGGGCAAGGGGAAUUCCUAGUGUAGCGGUGAAAUGCGUAGAGAUUAGGAAGAACACCGGUGGCGAAAGCGCCUUGCUGGGUCUGCACUGACACUGAGGGACGAAAGCUAGGGGAGCGAAAGGG
RNAcentral lists this ribosomal RNA (253 nucleotides) under uncultured bacterium. RNAcentral's name for it is "partial 16S ribosomal RNA". It matches the Rfam family "Bacterial small subunit ribosomal RNA", at positions 524 to 776 of the family's 1533-position model. The record is from RNAcentral.